UAUGAUAAAGUUGAAAUCCCGUCGACUAAGUUUGCUAGCGAAUGCUUGGAUGAGUUUGAUGACUUUAUGGCUAAACAAGAAAACUUCAAUGCUUAUGUUGGUAGACAAUUGAAAAAUAAUGCUUAUAUGAUUGGACACUUGAGUGAUUAUAUGUCUAGAGUUAAGAAUGAACUUAAACUUAUUAGUAAACAUGCUUCUAUGGUUACCACUCAAGUAGAACAAGUGCUUAAAGCUCAAAAUGAUUUGCUCAAUGAAUUAAAUGAUAAGAGAAAUGAUAAUGUCGUUAGAGUUAUGACUAGAGGGGGUAAAAUGACUCAGGAACCUUUGUAUCUUGAGGGACACCCUAAGAGGAUUGAGCAAGAUUCUCAUAGAAAUAAUGUUGAUGCA
RNAcentral lists this ribosomal RNA (387 nucleotides) under Triticum aestivum (bread wheat). Its description in RNAcentral is "partial small subunit ribosomal RNA". Lineage: Eukaryota; Viridiplantae; Streptophyta; Magnoliopsida; Poales; Poaceae. The record is from RNAcentral.